Molecule: ribosomal RNA, 427 nt
Filed under: uncultured bacterium
Lineage: Bacteria
Description: bacterial SSU rRNA
Rfam family: Bacterial small subunit ribosomal RNA
Source: RNAcentral
UGGGGAAUUUUGGACAAUGGGCGCAAGCCUGAUCCAGCCAUGCCGCGUGCAGGAUGAAGGCCUUCGGGUUGUAAACUGCUUUUGUACGGAACGAAAAGGCUCUGGUUAAUACCUGGGGCUCAUGACGGUACCGUAAGAAUAAGCACCGGCUAACUACGUGCCAGCAGCCGCGGUAAUACGUAGGGUGCAAGCGUUAAUCGGAAUUACUGGGCGUAAAGCGUGCGCAGGCGGUUUUGUAAGUCUGAUGUGAAAUCCCCGGGCUCAACCUGGGAAUUGCAUUGGAGACUGCAAGGCUAGAAUCUGGCAGAGGGGGAUGGAAUUCCGCGUGUAGCAGUGAAAUGCGUAGAUAUGCGGAGGAACACCGAUGGCGAAGGCAAUCCCCUGGGCCUGUACUGACGCUCAUGCACGAAAGCGUGGGGAGCAAACA